GACCGCUCUCAUUCCCCUUUUCAGGAUUCUUCUAUGAGAGCCGAGGCCAUACGGACAGCCGGGUCCACUGCCGA
RNAcentral lists this small RNA (74 nucleotides) under uncultured Gemmiger sp. RNAcentral's name for it is "Streptococcus sRNA SpF59 (ldcC RNA)". It matches the Rfam family "Streptococcus sRNA SpF59 (ldcC RNA)". Lineage: Bacteria; Bacillati; Bacillota; Clostridia; Eubacteriales; Oscillospiraceae. The record is from RNAcentral.